This 295-nucleotide ribosomal RNA is filed under the name Spixia striata. Its description in RNAcentral is "partial 16S ribosomal RNA". The record is from RNAcentral. Lineage: Eukaryota; Metazoa; Mollusca; Gastropoda; Stylommatophora; Bulimulidae.
CAAUUGGCCUUUAAUUGGGGUCGGGCAUGAAAGGAUAAAUCGAAGUAUUACUGUCUCAAUAAAAUAUAUACUAAUGAAAUUACUUAUUGGGUGAAAAUUCCUAAACAAUAGAUAAUAGACGAGAAGACCCUUAGACUUUCUCCUAAUUAUAUUAGAUUUAUAUAAAGGCUUUGUUGGGGCGACAAAAUGUCAACAUAUAAUUAACACAUUCAUUAAGUUUUUCGUAAUUUAACAAGUUUUAUUUCUGAUAAUAGAAGUACCUAAGGGAUAACAGCAUUAUUAAAUUAUUACAUUG